UUUGUGUGUGUGUGUGUGUGUGUGUGUGUGUGUGUGUGUAGUAGUAGUAGUAGUAGUAGUAGUAAUAGUAGGCUAUUUAUAUCUAUCAACCUAUGUAUCUAUUUCCACUAACUUUCCUAUUUAUCUAUCUAUCUAUCUAUUUUACAUCUAACCUUCUUUAUGUACAUUCUAAGUUGGUAUAUCCUUAACCAUAGCGUGUUCGAGCUAUAUACAGUGUCAUAGUAUUAGUGGUAUCUAAAUAACAUGUGCAGCGAUGUGUCUAAACCUUACUACCCACAUUCUAUAACAAAGCACAGUGCAAGAAUACAGUCUUUAUAGAAGUGUCAAAUUCAUAUACAGAGUUAUAGAGAAGGGGACAGCUUAAAACGUGGAUAGUAAGCCUGUGCGAUGGUUUAAAACUGGUCGAGGCAGCUGAGGGCCAAGGGAUCAUCUGGUAGUGCAAGAAUACAGCUAUAAUUUAAAUGCCAAGAGUUAUAUGCAGUGUUAUAGUGAAAUUCGCAGCUGGAAACAUGUGUAGCGUGCGUGUGUGAUGGUUUUAAAUAAGGCGGAGGCGGUGCGUGGCGGUGCGGGUCAGCUGAUAGCCCCAGGAAUCAGCUGUUUGGGCCACGCAGGCUAGCUGGGGUGGUAAGAGUGACUUCAGCGCCGCACGUGAGCAUCCCGCCAAGCCCCGCCAGGUGUGCUGCCCCGCCCCUGUCACCUGUCACCUGUGAUGCCACGGAGGGCGCCGCUUCACCUGUACUCACCCGGUGUGCUCCCUGGUCCUAGUGUAGAGAGAGAUAUGAGGAAGAAGAGAGUGUUGUAGAGAAAUAGAGACAGGUAGAGCAAGAUCAUUGUCCGGGAUAGCUGAUAUCUCCCCGCCAGCCUCCACGCCUUCAUCUGAUCUAGUGAAGAGAAAGAUAAGAGGGAGAAGAGAACGUUGUAGAGCAGAGAAAGUGUAGAGAAACAGAGACAGGUAGAGAGAGAUAAGUGUAUGGCAAAACUGAUCUCGUGUUGCCAGCCUCCACGCCUUCAUCUGAUCUAGUGAAGAGAAAGAUAAGAGGGAGAAGAGAACGUUGUAGAGCAGAGAAAGUGUAGAGAAACAGAGACAGGUAGAGAGAGAUAAGUGUAUGGCAAAACUGAUCUCGUGCUGCCAGCCUCCACGCCUUCAUCUGAUCAGCUGAUUGGACACAUGGGGUUAGGACAGGCUGGCUCUCUGGACACAUACGUUCUGAAGGACACGGGGGCACAGGGACACAGGGAGGGCAGCCAAGUAAGGGAGAGGAAGUGUAAGGGAGGGAGUAAGAGAAAAGUAGGGAGGGUAAUUUAUUUUUUGAGUAGCAUGUUUAAAAAUUGUGUUCAGUGUAUCAAAAGAGAUUGUCAUAGUGAUGUCUUGUUGCUUGGUCCUUUGUUUCAAGUCAAUUGUAGGCUAUACUUACCCUAGAAAUAAUAUGUUACUCUAAAUGUCUGAUUAUUAAGCUAAGAUACCAUUCUAAUGUAUUUUUCAUGUAUACUUUUUAACUUAUACAAUAAACCAUCAAGCAUUA
This is a long non-coding RNA of Eriocheir sinensis (Chinese mitten crab), 1523 nucleotides long. RefSeq lists it as uncharacterized. The record is from RefSeq and is a predicted model, not a curated record. The transcript has 2 exons. NCBI's taxonomy places the organism in Eukaryota, Metazoa, Arthropoda, Malacostraca, Decapoda, Varunidae.